UGCGCAGGCGGUUAUGUAAGACAGAGGUGAAAUCCCCGGGCUCAACCUGGGAACUGCCUUUGUGACUGCAUAGCUAGAGUACGGCAGAGGGGGAUGGAAUUCCGCGUGUAGCAGUGAAAUUCGUAGAUAUUCGGAAGAACACCAGUGGCGAAGGCGACUCACUGGCCCGUUACUGACGCUGAGGCGCGAAAGCGUGGGGAGCAAACAGGAUUAGAUACCCUGGUAGUCCACGCUGUAAACGAUGAGUGCUAGUUGUCGGCAUGCAUGCAUGUCGGUGACGCAGCUAACGCAUUAAGCACUCCGCCUGGGGAGUACGGUCGCAAGAUUAAA
This 330-nucleotide ribosomal RNA is filed under the name uncultured bacterium. Its description in RNAcentral is "bacterial SSU rRNA". It matches the Rfam family "Bacterial small subunit ribosomal RNA", at positions 568 to 898 of the family's 1533-position model. The record is from RNAcentral.